GAUGAACGCUGGCGGCGUGCCUAAUACAUGCAAGUCGAGCGAACAGACGAGGAGCUUGCUCCUUUGACGUUAGCGGCGGACGGGUGAGUAACACGUGGGUAACCUACCUAUAAGACUGGGAUAACUUCGGGAAACCGGAGCUAAUACCGGAUAAUAUUUCGAACCGCAUGGUUCGAUAGUGAAAGAUGGCUUUGCUAUCACUUAUAGAUGGACCUGCGCCGUAUUAGCUAGUUGGUAAGGUAACGGCUUACCAAGGCAACGAUACGUAGCCGACCUGAGAGGGUGAUCGGCCACACUGGAACUGAGACACGGUCCAGACUCCUACGGGAGGCAGCAGUAGGGAAUAUUCCGCAAUGGGCGAAAGCCUGACGGAGCAACGCCGCGUGAGUGAUGAAGGUCUUCGGAUCGUAAAACUCUGUUAUUAGGGAAGAAGAAACGUGUAAGUAACUGUGCACGUCUUGACGGUACCUAAUCAGAAAGCCACGGCUAACUCCGUG
Molecule: ribosomal RNA, 497 nt
Filed under: uncultured bacterium
Lineage: Bacteria
Description: partial 16S ribosomal RNA
Rfam family: Bacterial small subunit ribosomal RNA
Source: RNAcentral